UACGGAGGGUGCGAGCGUUGUCCGGAAUCAUUGGGCGUAAAGGGCGCGUAGGUGGCCCGGUCAGUUCGUGGUGAAAGCGCGGGGCUCAACCCUGCGUCGGCCAUGAAUACUGCCGCGGCUGGAGCACUGUAGAGGCAGGCGGAAUUCCGGGUGUAGCGGUGGAAUGCGUAGAGAUCGGGAGGAACACCAGUGGCGAAGGCGGCUACCUGGACCAGCAUUGACACUCAAGCACGAAAGCGUGGGGAGCAAACAGG
RNAcentral lists this ribosomal RNA (254 nucleotides) under uncultured bacterium. RNAcentral's name for it is "partial 16S ribosomal RNA". It matches the Rfam family "Bacterial small subunit ribosomal RNA", at positions 524 to 776 of the family's 1533-position model. The record is from RNAcentral.